Molecule: non-coding RNA, 675 nt
Organism: Sus scrofa (pig)
Lineage: Eukaryota; Metazoa; Chordata; Mammalia; Artiodactyla; Suidae
Source: RefSeq, a predicted model, not a curated record
GCUCCUCUACAUUUUCUAAUGAAGAACAGGAGUGGAAUUAGACCCUCGAGGCUUUCUGUCAGGGAGCUUUCACCAGCAUGGGGGGGAUUUUCUGGUAUGUUAGAGAAGUUAAAACAGCUUCAACGUUUAUCACCUGUAACCUUCUGAGACGGCUCAAGCCUAUAGACGCAGGACUCAAUGGCACCAGCUGAUCUUUGUUGAAUGGAGCCCCACCCACCACUGAGCUGAAGGCCUUUUCUGCAGCUUUCUUCAGCCUCCCCAGGAAUGCAGGAAUUUCACCGCUUCCCCUGUUAAGCAGAUAAGGACACCUAGACACCGAGAGAGGUGGAGGGACCAGCCCGCCUCCUGAUACCCUCCUGGGACCUGAGCUGCUACCUCCUUACAGAGGCGACUCAAAGAGGCUGCCUUCCCCAAGGUCACAACCCAGAUGUUCUGACUCCAGGCAAAGCUCAAUGAUGGUUAAAUGUUUGUGGAAGGAGCCUUGGAAGCAAAGCACUGAAUUCGAUAAGGGUGGAAGAAUUUGUCCCAGAGGUGUGCUUAAUUGAAAGGUAAUCUCAUUGGGAAGACCAAAUCCGGACACCUGUAAAAGGAGCAUCAAUUACCAACAGCUAGCCCUAAAGACAAAAUUAGUUAACAAUGGAGGGGCGGUGCCUCGGAGAAUUAGGAAAAUUUGGG